Long non-coding RNA from Ooceraea biroi (clonal raider ant), 1560 nucleotides. RefSeq lists it as uncharacterized. The record is from RefSeq and is a predicted model, not a curated record. NCBI's taxonomy places the organism in Eukaryota, Metazoa, Arthropoda, Insecta, Hymenoptera, Formicidae.
CCGCCGGCACCACUACUAUUACUACUACUACUAUUCUACUAAUACUACCACUACUACUAUCGGCUACGCAACUAGGCAGACUACUACCAGCCGCCAUCGCACACCACCAACAUCACGACCUUCCUCUACACUCGCCGUAACACCAUCGCGACCGGUUACCAUCACCAUCAUCCGAAUGUCGUGAACGACGAGGACGAUGACGGCGACGGCGGAGCGGCACGACACAAGCGCUCCGAUGCAUUACCGUUCUCUUAGAGUGCAUGCAUGCAUGUAUGCAUACGUGCGCAUGUGCGUAUGUGCGUUGCACGUGCACAUAGACGCGCGUCCUUAGCGGCGUCCACCGUGAGCCACGAAACGCCAAGCCGCGUCGUGCCCGUCAUCGACGUCGCCGUCGCCGUCGUCGUCGUUCUCUUCGUCGUCAUCAUCGUUGUCGGUCCAAUUGCACAUUUUACGUGCGCGCCCGACCGCUGAUACUGCCUUCUUCUCCCUUCUUUCUUCUAUCUCCCUCUCUCUCGGUCCCUCUCUUCCUCCGUACCUGCGACGGUGUACGCCGGGUACAGAGCACCACAAAAGUUUCGACUUCCUUCGCCGAAGUUUCGGAAAGACGGAGGGAAGAUAAAGGCGCGCCGAGUCGACCGACUGCCGUUUAGGCGAUCCUAAAGCGUCGCUUUCUUGCGCGGAAUGUGCGAGAAGAAGAUCGGAAUAAGUUUGAAAUAUUGGUGUAAAAUGUAUCAUCGCGCGAACCGGAAUCGUCGGUAUAAUUUUUUCAGGGGGAUUUUCUAUCUUGAUGUGCAACUGCGCUAGCGAAGAGGGAAGUGCGCCAAAUUUUCAUUGAUAUUCGUCAAAUCGAAUAUCAGCUAACUGCACCAUCGACCGACCUUGGGUCAAUCAAAGUGGAAAACAUGCCCGUAUGACGUAAUGGAUAUCGAGUGCGUGCUGUCACCGAUCGAAUGUAGCAGGACGAUUGACAGCGACGAUUGUUUCUCAUCCACAUGGCCGGGGUUCUACAUUGGAAAAUGCACAGGCUGCUUCUCGAACUGUACCAUCGGGCUUGCACAAAGAGCGGCCCGAGCACACUCCAAUCUAAGCAACACAUAGGAAAACUGUGUAUGCCGUCCACGGUUCUAAGAGCCGUUCCCUUCAUUUAGCCGAGGCAACGUCGCGGGCGAGGCUAUUCGCCGAAGUCAUUAAGCUCGCAGAUUUCUGAAAAACGAUUCGCGCGUAACGGGCCGCACGUCUCUCACUCGACGACGCUUCACGCUUCACGCUUGGCCUUCACGCUGAAGCUGAUGACGUCAUACCCUUCUAAACAGGAGGGGCCCGGGCGGCUAAACAUGGCCGUGGAUUUAGGCAGCCAAUCGUGGUACGCCAACGAGGAUCCCCUUUCUAAGCGGCCUAGCUACUCUUCGUGGGAACAUAUCGACGCAUUUCGACGGAGUGGGUGACGCAAAAUGGCUACUUUCGAUGACACCGGCUUCGUCCCUCCGAACGCUCAUUACGAAUCUAUAAUUAAACGCAAAAUUAAUGAUUCGCGUUCAUUAAACCCUAUUAUUCGAAACA